Molecule: ribosomal RNA, 440 nt
Filed under: uncultured bacterium
Lineage: Bacteria
Description: partial 16S ribosomal RNA
Rfam family: Bacterial small subunit ribosomal RNA
Source: RNAcentral
CCUACGGGUGGCAGCAGUGGGGAAUAUUGCACAAUGGGGGAAACCCUGAUGCAGCGACGCCGCGUGAGCGAUGAAGUAUUUCGGUAUGUAAAGCCCUAUUAGCAGGGAAGCAAAUGCCGGUACUUGACUAAGAAGCCCCGUGUAACUACGUGCCGCCAGCCCGGGUAAUACGGAGGGGGCAAGCGUUAUCCGGAUUUACUGAGUGUAAAGGGAGCGUAGACGGCGGUGCAAGUCAGAUGUGAAAGCCCGGGGCUCAACCCCGGGACUGCAUUUGAAACUGUGCGGCUAGAGUGGCGGAGAGGCAGGCGGAAUGCGUAGUGUAGCGGUGAAAUGCGUAGAUAUUAGGAAGAACACCAGUGGCGAAGGCGGCCUGCUGGACGAUGACUGACGUUGAGGCUCGAAAGCGUGGGGAGCAAACAGGAUUAGAUACCCCAGUAGUC